Pipistrellus kuhlii (Kuhl's pipistrelle) is the source of this 137-nucleotide long non-coding RNA. RefSeq lists it as uncharacterized. The transcript is spliced from 3 exons. NCBI's taxonomy places the organism in Eukaryota, Metazoa, Chordata, Mammalia, Chiroptera, Vespertilionidae. The record is from RefSeq and is a predicted model, not a curated record.
GAGAUCUAUACUUUUUCCCUCCUGGAGUUUCUUCUCCUCUUUCUGCCUCUGCUUGAAUGCCUUGUCUUCCUUGUUCAUCUCCUUGGCCUGCUUCUUGGGAUGCUUCAGGGGCUUUUUCUUGCCACCUUCUCAGCCAG